RNAcentral lists this long non-coding RNA (1488 nucleotides) under Anas platyrhynchos platyrhynchos (common mallard). Its description in RNAcentral is "lncRNA (ENSAPLG00000025828.1)". The record is from RNAcentral. Lineage: Eukaryota; Metazoa; Chordata; Aves; Anseriformes; Anatidae.
GCAUGGAAAAAAAAAGGUACAUAAAUCUCAAGAAAAACACACUACUGCUGAAAGUAAUUUUAGGAUUCUUAAUUGAGAGAGACAUUUAGUGCUGAAGAUCUGGGUUAACAUAACAAAUAAUAGCACUUGAACAUGAGGUGAUGAAUUGGCUAUAUCUGGAGCGGGCAGGGGGAUGGCGCGCACAGUCUUUCUUUUGCUAGAGCUGACACGAGUUGCUAAGGUGGUCAUGAUGGGAUGUGAAGGCAGCCUGUCUGUGUUUGUACACUAAGGCACCAGACUAGCUCUGCUGCCUCAAGCUCUGCUGCUGGUUCCUUUCUGGCUCCAUAGGUGUGUUAGCACCUGGCAUUUAGAAUGACCUUGUUUGUCAUAUUAGAACUGAGAUCUCAUGCCUAAAUUGUUUCUUGGGUUGUAUGAUCAAGCUAAGCAUAACCACUUUUUUAUGCAGUGACGCAACAAGAAAUGGAUCAGUAAGUAAGAUUGUCUGGGUAGCGUGAAGUUCAGACUUGCUGGUGCAGGUGCUGUGGAAGAUGCAACAUUGGUAGAGAUGGAUGAGUAAAAUAAACUACAGGCUUGAUCUGGCAUGUUAACAUGACUAUUUUUUUUUCUUUCUUUUUUCAACAGGGAGCAAAAUGCCUUCAGGGAAUAUUAUAAACUCUUCUGGUCAAGGUCUCUGUCUUUAUGGCCCACUUGUAUUCAGUGAGGUUAAAGAAGUUCUGAGAUCACACCCAAGAAAAUGGACAUCCAAGCUAUCUUUUAUUCACUACAUACUGCAUCAAAAAUAAACUUACUUCCCUUUGAGGAACAAAUACGGUGUUCAAGGAAAAAAAUAAUCUGUAUCUGGUAAGCAUGAAGUUUAUUCUUGGAAUUUGAACAAACCUUUUCUUCUGCCUUGUUCUGCCUUCUGCCCGUUCUGCCUUGAGUCAAGACAUCAGCUAAUUUCCUUAGGCUCUGUUGGAGAGGCCGUUCUUUAAUGUUUGAGCCUUUUCCUCUUCUCCCUAUGCCUGUGGUAAGGUUGGCAGCCAUUUGUUACUCUAUCUCCUAAACCAUUCAACCAGGAAAAUAAGCAUGAGGUACAUGUGAAAGUUUCUUAGGAUACAGAAAAUGAAGAGAAAUGGGGAGAUUGGUGGGAAAACUAGGUGUUCGAACAGAGCAGAGGCAUGAUUUGUGACGUUUGGUUUCUGUUUUGUUGCAUAGGCACUGGAGUUAAGAUAAACUCCGAAUAAUGAAACUGUAGAGGCUAUAGAGCAUGACCUGUUUGUAUGUUCUUACAGGCCCUGUCAGCAGCUACGUGCUGCAGUCAAUUCAAGGUAUGCCAUUAUAGGGUAGAUUCAGAUUACAUGUUAGGAAGAAAUUCUUCACUCAGAGGGUGGUGAGGCACUGGUACAGUUUGCCCAGAGAAGCUGUGGCUGCCCCAUCCCUGGGGUUGUUCAAGGCCAGGCUGGAUGGGGCUUUGGGCAGCCUGGGCUGGUGGGAGGGAGCCCUGCCUAU